This 451-nucleotide unclassified non-coding RNA is filed under the name Hevea brasiliensis (rubber tree). Lineage: Eukaryota; Viridiplantae; Streptophyta; Magnoliopsida; Malpighiales; Euphorbiaceae. The record is from RNAcentral.
UGGCUCUGUGCCAAUCAAACAAGAAUAGAUACUCAAAUGUACAUGAAUCCUCUCCAUGAGGAUCAAAAUAAAAUAUUUACAAAUCAGAUCUCCUAACUGUCUUUACUUACGUACAAUAAUUUAAAACAAAAGAAAUAUCCAAAAAUAACAUAUUGGCCCAACCUCCACUCGACUCUGGAGUUAGUGAAGUGGAUGAGAGGACAACACUAAAAGAGAGGCUACUAGUAGUGGAGUAAGCAAAAGAAAUUUGAAAGAAAUCAUUAGCUCUUGUGAGUGAAAGAUGGUUUUGAGUUAGGUUUUGUGUUGAAAAUUGGUGUUUAAUUAAAGCUUGAAUGGGUUUAUGGGUUUGAUUUGCAAUAUGGAUGUGAAUGAAAUGAAGAGAGGAGAAAUGCUUGGGGUGGAAUCCCCUGUUUCUGCUCAAGGGAAACAAAAGAAGGGGAAUUUUUUUUUU